GGAUUGUGGCUCAGUGGUGGUGCACUUGCCUAGCAUGCAUGAGGCACUGGGUUCAAUUCUCAGCACCA
This 68-nucleotide transfer RNA is filed under the name Marmota monax (woodchuck). RNAcentral's name for it is "tRNA.Ala". The stretch from base 5 to 65 matches the Rfam family "tRNA", at positions 6 to 65 of the family's 71-position model. Rfam says of the family: Transfer RNA (tRNA) molecules are approximately 80 nucleotides in length. Their secondary structure includes four short double-helical elements and three loops (D, anti-codon, and T loops). Further hydrogen bonds mediate the characteristic L-shaped molecular structure. tRNAs have two regions of fundamental functional importance: the anti-codon, which is responsible for specific mRNA codon recognition, and the 3' end, to which the tRNAs corresponding amino acid is attached (by aminoacyl-tRNA synthetases). tRNAs cope with the degeneracy of the genetic code in two manners: having more than one tRNA (with a specific anti-codon) for a particular amino acid; and 'wobble' base-pairing, i.e. permitting non-standard base-pairing at the 3rd anti-codon position. The record is from RNAcentral. Lineage: Eukaryota; Metazoa; Chordata; Mammalia; Rodentia; Sciuridae.